ACACAGUUACACAGAGACACUUAACAUAAAGGUGGGACAUCAGCUUUUAUUUAAAACCAUAAACUUUUAUGUAAAACUGUCAGCUUAUAUUUAAGAUUGUUAUUUGUUUUUAUUUAAACCAGUCAGCUUUUGUAAGGGAUGCUUUGCUUUUGUUUUCUUUUGUCUUUCCUUUUUGUAAAAGUAGUCUGACUCUUCUGGGCCACUGUAAGUGGGUGGGCACACAGGUUUCCUGUUUUACUCUUGUAGCAGCUGAUAUGAUCUUAUGAUCUUCAUAUAUCCCUGCAGAUGGAACGUGAGUCUUCAAGCUGACGGACUCUGUAAGGGUUAGUUCUGAUUCUGAUUUAGUGGUGUUGUGUUACUCAUAAGCUUUAGAAAUGGAUCUGAGUAAGUGGAGCGAUUUCUUUAAACAGUACCCUUACAGUAGCAGUGUGUUCUUCAGCCUCAUUCUUGUGGCUAUGGAGAAAGUUGUUGAGAAAGAAUUUGUGUGCCCUUGUAAAACCGGAUUUACAGUGGCACUUUUCUGUUGUUACUUACUGGUGCCCAUGGUCAUCACUUUUGCCUUUGGAUUUUACCUUCUGAGCAUUGAAUGUGUUUGCUCACCAUAUGAAGAACGUUGUAUAAAUUUCCUGAAAUUUCUGGCCUGUAUGGUUCCAUCUGUUGUUUGGCUGGCCUUGUUUCUCUGUGAUGGUAGAUACAUAGCUUGUUUAAAAACUGAGUUCAAUGCAGAUUUUGCUGACAGCGGUAAGACUUCUCCAUGGAAAUGGUGUGAAAAACCCCAAGCACUGACUCCUGUCGAGCUCAGUGCUCUGAUGUCAUUCUACAUAUCUAAGUUGGCAGGCUUUUGCUGUCCUUGUCCUCAUCUCAGUUAUAGCAAUGAUUUAUAAAUGCUGCAAGAAAUGUCGUAAAUGCCUAGACCUCACUGAAACGAAGCCCUGCUGCUCGGCCCAUGGUAAAACCUGCAGCACAGCCCACUGCAAAAAAUGCUGUGAACGCCACAAACUAAACUGCUGCGCAGCACACAGAGAUAUGCCCUGCUUAGCCCACCCUCGCGAAGGAUCUGAAAACAUUCCUCUUGUGCGCAGGGAUGUCAUUGCUCCCAGCCCUUGUGACAAAACAAAAGACUGCCCUUGUCUUUGUCACCAAUCCUGCUCCUGUGACUGUCACAAGCCCUAGCCCUCGAUUGUUACCUACUCACAAAUGCAGAUCCACCUGAUUCAGUUUCCUCCUCUGUUACUGAUUCAGUUCCCUCCUCUGUUACUGAUUCAGUUUCCUCCUCUGUUACUGAUUCAGUUCCCUCCUCUGUUACUGAUUCAGUUUCCUUCUCUGUUACUGAUUCAGCUCCCUCCUCUGUUACUGAUUCAGCUCCCUCCUCUGUCACUGAUUCAGACCUCUCCUCUAUUACUGGUUCAGUUCCCUCAUCUGUUACUGAUUCAGUUCUCUCUUCUGUCACUGAUUCAGCUCCCUCCUCUGUUACUGAUUCAGUUCUCUCCUGUUACUGAUUCAGUUCCCUCCUCUGUUACUGAUUCAGUUUCCUCCUCUGUUACUGAAAAAAUGCUGCGAAUGCCACAAACUAAACUGCUGCGCAGCACACAGAGAUAUGCCCUGCUUAGCCCACCCCCGGAAAGGAUCUGAAAACAUUCCUCUUGUGCGCAGGGAUGUCAUUGCUCCCAGCCCUUGUGACAAAACAAAAGACUGCUCUUGUCUUUGUCACCAAUCCUGCUCCUGUGACUGUCACAAGCCCUAGCCCUCGAUUGUUACCUACUCACAAAUGCAGAUCCACCUGAUUCAGUUUCCUCCUCUGUUACUGAUUCAGUUUCCUUCUCUGUUACUGAUUCAGUUCCCUCCUCUUUUACUGGUUCAGUUCCCUCCUCUGUUACUGAUUCAGUUCUCUCCUCUGUCAUGGAUUCAGUUCCCUCCUCUGU
Molecule: long non-coding RNA, 1922 nt
Organism: Colossoma macropomum (tambaqui)
Lineage: Eukaryota; Metazoa; Chordata; Actinopteri; Characiformes; Serrasalmidae
Exons: 3
Source: RefSeq, a predicted model, not a curated record